CGCAACACCACCGUGCCACGUCCAGUCCGAACACCUCGGGGACGGUGACCCCACCUGUGCAGCCCGUUCCAAUGUCUAAUCGUCCUUUCUUGUGAAGAAAUUCUCCCUAAUGUCCAACUUCAUCCUCCCCCGGCACAGCUUGAGACUGUGCCUUCCUGUCUUGAAUUUUCUGGGAGAAGAGACCGAACCCCCCAGACCACCAGGGAACUCCCUUAGCUGUGACAUUGUAAUGGGAGGUGGAGACACCUCGAGGAGAAGGUCGAGACAGGCAACAGCAAUUACAGUCAGUAACAUCUCUGACUUGCCUCAAUUACAGGUUUGGCUGCCUGUGCUCGAGGUCUGUCAUGAUAUGGUGGAGUGUAAUCUGGGAUCAGAGUGCUGGGAAAAGAAGUAUGUGCCAAAGAGCUGGGAGAAGCCUUCUGAGGCCUCUGAGCCGUGGCACAGAGCUGCCCUUGUCCUUGGCCCUCAUCUGGGGUAGGCUGGACCUUGCUGAUCCUGACU
Myiozetetes cayanensis is the source of this 501-nucleotide long non-coding RNA. RefSeq lists it as uncharacterized. The transcript is spliced from 3 exons. NCBI's taxonomy places the organism in Eukaryota, Metazoa, Chordata, Aves, Passeriformes, Tyrannidae. The record is from RefSeq and is a predicted model, not a curated record.